GCCGGGCGGUGCAGAGGGGCGGGGCCGCGGGGCCUGGAAGCAGCCUCCGGGAUCUGCAAGUCUGGAAAGGCCACGUUGUGGACCUUGGCGCAGAGGUUAUGGGGGCGACCCGGAGCGGAUGGUUUCAGGAAAACUAGAACCCACCCUCAUGGCCUGAACAACUGGAGAGAAGAGGAUCGCAGCAAUUUAAAGCCAGCGGCAAGGAUCACAGUCCUGGGGUCAGGUGACCAAAGCCAGUUUUUCAGCCCUUAACAAGAACCUGGCUUCACCCAGCCAAACAUGAGUUAACGUAUCCAUUUUACACACGAACAAACUGAGGCGCAGAGAUGAUCACAGCUUGUUGGUGGCAAACUCCGCUAGGGCCUUCUCUGCUACCCUAAGGAGGUCCGACCGUAUGUUUUGGACCCCUUAACUCGGGAUACCGAUAAACGAAAAUUAAUAGGGUGUUGGAUGUUUUAAAUGUGUGCGGGAAUGUCAUUAUAUUGGCUAGAAUCAAACCUUAUUUAGACUUGUUUUGCACUUUUGUACACUUUAGUAAUUUUUAGUUUUAAUCAUAAGGGAGUUAAAGGCGAACACAACUGGUAUUUUUUUUUUUUUUUUUUUUUUUUUGAGACAGGGUCUCGCUCGGUCACCCAGGCUGGAGUGUAAUGCUGCGAUCUCGGCUCACUGCAACGUCCGCCUCCCGGGUUCAAGAGAUUCUCCUGCCUCAGCCUCCCGAAUAGCUGGGCGUGCCACCACGCCCGGCUGAUUUUUGUAUUUUUAGUAGAGACGGGGUUUCACCAUGUUGGCCAGGUUGGUCUCGAACUCCUGACCUCAAAUGAUCCGCCCGCCUUGGCCUCCCAGAAUGCUGGGAUUACAGGCGUGAGCCACCGCGCCAGGCCGACAACUGGUAUCUUAAGGCUUAGGGCCUCUGGUAGAAGUGAGCUCCACCUCCCUUCCUGUGUAGAAGGUAAAUGCAUUCAUUCAUUCAGUGAAUCGAGCAUGCAUGAAAUCGUUUGCGCACACCCAGAAGCCCACCUGCGAGCCACAGGAGCAGCCAUUCCAGGAAGCCAAGCUAUAAUGGGAGACGCAAGGAAUGGAGGCGGAACUCCUGUUUUUAAGUCCUAGCUCCAACACUAGCCUUGUCAGCCUGUAAUUCUGAAUUACUGGGCGCCUCUGAGGCUUCUUGUCUCAUCUGCAAAUCAGGAACAACGGCAUAGAGUGGUGAAUGCAUCAAGUGGGAUGAUGUCUGCAAGUACGCAACCCGCUUACACAAAGAAUUAUCUUUCCAUAACCUUCCCUGGACCCCUAGGGCCAGCAGGGAAUCAUAGCCUCCCUUUGUUUCUAGAGCCCGGAAAUCACUGGGUUUUCCCUCUGUCUGGAGCAGAGCUGGGUGCGAAUUUGACCAACGGGUGGCAGGAACAGCCGGAGCAGGAUAUUAAGGAGCGGGCGAGCUUGCCAAGCAUGCGCAGUAGCGGCGGGUUGGUUUGAGAAGCCGCCAGGGAGCCAGCGCGGCGACCUAGCUGGCUGGGGCAGGGGAGGGGCCCGCCUUAUAUGGGAGCUGCGUGGGGACAAACUGUUCGGGCCCAACGCGCGGGUCUGAGAGACAGCCACGCCUGCUCCGGGUCACUCCGGCCACCUGGGGGGCGUCGGCGCGCAGACUCUGGCCAGUUCAGUAUUCAAACUCUUCAGGAGUGCUAACUUACUCAUGACAGCGAUUUUCUGUAUCGGGGUUUCAUUGGUCGGUGGUUUAGAAGGUUUUGCUCAUUCAUUCGUUAAUGUAAUUCCAACAACCUACACGUGUUUAUAAGCCCCCUUUCCAUCCACGACUUUGCUGUCUGACACAAAACGGACCAUCGCAGCCCGGCAGACGCUUUAGACAACAAACAGCAUGCCUGGAGCUUUUCAAUAGGAAGCAGUAAGGCUUGAUCAUCACAGACGAUACGGAACGGGCACUUUCUUAGCAGAAAAUAUUUCUAUUGGGGCGUGAAGGAAGUUUCUGAAAGGGAAGAUUAUUAUAAGAUAAGGGGUUUGCUCAUCUCAGACUUUAGUGUGCCUGCUUUAAAGUGUUUUGCAAACUUGAAUGUUUAAAGGAAUCACCUGGCGGUCUUGUGAAACUGCAGCUUCUAAUGGGCAAGUCAGAGGGGAAGCCUGAGACAUGGCAUUUCCAGCACGUUCGGGGAGUGAAGAUGCUGUCGGCUGCCACCCUCCCUGCAAGGAGCCAGGGGAUAGAUGACCUCUACGCAAACUGUGAGAGCUUAAAAUAACUGAUAGUGAAAAACAGUUACAGAAGCUCUAGGCCGGGCACGGUGGCUAAUGCCUGUAAUCCCAGCACUUUGGGAGGCCGAGGAGGAUGGAUUGCCAGAACUCAGGAGUUUGAGACCAGCCUGGGCAACACGGUAAAACCCUGUCUCUACGACAAAAUAAAACAAACAAAAAUAAAAGCCACGCAUGGUGGCGUGUGCUUGUAGUCCCAGCUACUCAGGAGGCUCAGGUGGGACAAUCGCUUGAGCAUGGAAGGAGGAGGUUGCAGUGAGCCAAGAUCGCACCACUGUACUCCAACCUGAGUGACAGAGUGAGACCCAAUCUCAAAAAAAAAAAAAAGCAGUAAAUCCAGGGCCCAAAAGCUCCCCUCAAUGGGAAGUAGAAUCUCUUUCUCCACCUCUUCAAUAUGGCUGGCCCUGGAACUUCCCUUGGCACACAGAAUGCAGCAGAAUUGGCUUCAUGUUGUUUCUAAGCCUUGGCCUCAGAGGCCUUGCAUGCUUCCUAACCCUGGCUCUAGGAAACUUGCUGCUGUCAUGUAAGCAAGCCCAGGCUAACCUACUGAAUGUUGGUGUGUCCCAGUCAAAUCCAGCACUGCAACCAAUAGCCAGGCAGCCACCAGACAUGUGAGUGGGGCCACCUCACACCAGCCAACCUCCACCAAGUCAUCAGAUGUAUGAGUGAGAACAGCCCAGAACAACUGAGCCCGUCCAGACCAGCGGAACAACCAAGCUGACCAGUAGACUUAGGAGCAGUAAACAGAUGAUUGUUAUGGAAGCCAUUCUGUUUAGGGUGUGUGUGUUAUUGCUUGCAUCCAAAUACAUCCUAUCUCAUCUAAUGAGAAAAGGCCCUGCUCAAGGGCUUUUGCAGCUGUAGUUGGGCGCCGGAAGUGUCUUUGUGGUCAUUUCUUACUCCAUACACGGGGAGAUCAAGGCUCAGACCAGGUAGUGUGACUGUGGACAACACUUUCCUUACCCCUCUGUGACACUUAAAUCAAUGAAGCAGAUUCACAGAAGCAUGCAUGCUCACUGAACACAGUAUUUGCAUUCCUACCUCCAAACCUUUGCUCCACCCAUGCAUCCAGUAAGAAUGCCUACUUCCCUCCUCUCCUCCAUCGAGUUCUUUCUUUGAGUUCUACCUUCCCUAGUCUUCCUCCACUGCACCAACCCACGGUGAUCCCUGUCUCUUCCAAAUGCUUUGUAACAUGGUAGGCAUCACUCACUUGUGACUCAUUGGACCAUUUUAAAACUUGGUUUUCUGUGUCUCUUUUCCAACAAAAUUACAAAUUCUUUGAGGGUAAAAGUCAGGCCUAAUAGUUCUCUGUACUCCUAGUAGUGCCAGUGUGGUAAAAAUUUAACUUGACAAUUAGCAAAACCAAUAAAUUCCUUACACUAUUCUGUUCCUGUAGGUAAUCAGUAUAUGAAUAUGGAUUCCUAUGUGAUGAUUUUCUGGUCUAUUUUGUCCCUUUUUUUUUUUUGUUACUUUAACCAGGCCAUAACAUAAAGGUUAUGCCAUUUGUUACUGUCAAGCUUAAUUAAGCCCAUUAUAAUUCGUUAACCCCUGUGCUUGCUUUGUAAUUAACAUUGAUUAACACAAACAAGUACAAAAUAGGCCAUCAGCACUUUCCAGAAGUGCUGAUUACAAUUACAUUGGUAAUUCAAUACGGUAUAGAAGAUGGCAGGAUAGUAACUUGCACUCUGUUUACAUAAGGAGACAAAUGCUACCAUGCAAAACUAAGCCAAGAAACAAAAUACUUUCCUCAUCCAACUCACUGAUUAAACCCUUACCCUGUUAACUCACCCUAUGACUGUGUAAACCUCCAGUAAGAUUAUUGAAGGCACAGCUCCAAGUAACUUGCUUAAUUGCAUUCCUGGGACAAAAGAGGGAAGCGCUUCAAAGCUGACAGACAGAUGGUAGAGUGUCCAGUCACAGCAAAGCAGGCCCCGAGGCUCAUGACAGACAACUCCAGGGCUGAGAUCUCAUUUGUAGCUCUGGGAUAAAGUCCAGGGUUUGAUGGCAGCAGGCUGAAGUGUAAAGAUGCUCAACAAUGCGCACCCCAGAGACACUGAAUCUGAAAAAGCUUAGAGUGAAUAAAAAUCUGGAAAUGAACUCUGUCUGUCUAUUCACCAUUCCCCCCAUAAAAAAAUUCCUAUAUUCCGGAUGGUGUUCAAGUUCCCUUUCCACAGGACCUCAGCAGUCAGGGAGGUGCUCCUGCAAUCUAUGUGAAGGAGAUUUCACCAUGCCCACAUGGGAAUACAGUAGAUUGCCAGUAGGGAUGCCACACCUUUGCAUUUCCUCGUAUUUCCAGGAACAAAGCUGGGGUGCCUAGGAGCUGCAGCAGUUUUUCUUCUGUGUAAAAUAAGCAAGCAGGACUCUGCCCCACUGCACUCCAGGGAAGGAUUAAGAGAAUUGAUAUCAUCCAAAUCAAUUGGCCCUGUGCAGAUGACUUGAUAAUGAGGCCAUUGAGUUUUUAUGGUUCACUAUUAUUGCUACAAAAAUUAUGCUGCAGAAAUCAUUCAAAUGCUCAAAAAGGAGCAUUAGUACGAAACUGGGUGUUCCAAAGUUGUUGCUGAGAGGUGUGUAAUGUUCCUGAAGAUCCCCAAGGCACUAAGACUUCUCUGUACAUGAAUGACUCAUAGAGAAGAAAUACACCAGAUGAAAAUAUAUGGAGAAGUUUGCCGAAUGUCAUAUAACUU
Molecule: long non-coding RNA, 4937 nt
Filed under: Homo sapiens (human)
Lineage: Eukaryota; Metazoa; Chordata; Mammalia; Primates; Hominidae
Description: HSALNT0264758
Source: RNAcentral